UACGUAGGGUGCGAGCGUUAAUCGGAAUUACUGGGCGUAAAGCGUGCGCAGGCGGUUCGUUGUGUCGGCGGUGAAAGCCCCGGGCUCAACCUGGGAAUGGCCGUUGAAACUGGCGAACUGGAGUGUGGCAGAGGGGGGGUGGAAUUCCGCGUGUAGCAGUGAAAUGCGUAGAGAUGCGGAGGAACACCGAUGGCGAAGGCAGCCCCCCUGGGCUGACACUGACGCCUCAGGCACGAAAGCGUGGGGAGCAAACAGG
This 256-nucleotide ribosomal RNA is filed under the name uncultured bacterium. RNAcentral describes it as "partial 16S ribosomal RNA". It matches the Rfam family "Bacterial small subunit ribosomal RNA", at positions 524 to 776 of the family's 1533-position model. The record is from RNAcentral.